RNAcentral lists this ribosomal RNA (864 nucleotides) under uncultured bacterium. RNAcentral describes it as "bacterial SSU rRNA". It matches the Rfam family "Bacterial small subunit ribosomal RNA", at positions 100 to 978 of the family's 1533-position model. The record is from RNAcentral.
GAACGGGUGAGUACACGUGGGUGAUCUGCCCUGCACUUUGGGAUAAGCCUGGGAAACUGGGUCUAAUUCCGAAUAGGACCACGCGCUUCAUGGUGUGUGGUGGAAAGCUUUUGCGGUGUGNGNNNGGCCCGCGGCCUAUCAGCUUGUUGGUGGGGUAAUGGCCUACCAAGGCGACGACGGGUAGCCGGCCUGAGAGGGUGACCGGCCACACUGGGACUGAGAUACGGCCCAGACUCCUACGGGAGGCAGCAGUGGGGAAUAUUGCACAAUGGGCGCAAGCCUGAUGCAGCGACGCCGCGUGAGGGAUGACGGCCUUCGGGUUGUAAACCUCUUUCAAUAGGGACGAAGCGCAAGUGGCGGUACCUAUAGAAGAAGCACCGGCCAACUACGUGCCAGCAGCCGCGGUAAUACGUAGGGUGCGAGCGUUGUCCGGAAUUACUGGGCGUAAAGAGCUCGUAGGUGGUUUGUCGCGUUGUUCGUGAAAACUCACAGCUUAACUGUGGGCGUGCGGGCGAUACGGGCAGACUAGAGUACUGCAGGGGAGACUGGAAUUCCUGGUGUAGCGGUGGAAUGCGCAGAUAUCAGGAGGAACACCGGUGGCGAAGGCGGGUCUCUGGGCAGUAACUGACGCUGAGGAGCGAAAGCGUGGGGAGCGAACAGGAUUAGAUACCCUGGUAGUCCACGCCGUAAACGGUGGGUACUAGGUGUGGGUUCCUUCCUUGGGAUCCGUGCCGUAGCUAACGCAUUAAGUACCCCGCCUGGNGAGUACGGCCGCAAGGCUAAAACUCAAAGGAAUUGACGGGGGCCCGCACAAGCGGCGGAGCAUGUGGAUUAAUUCGAUGCAACGCGAAGAACCUUACCUGG